Mauremys reevesii (Reeves's turtle) is the source of this 1624-nucleotide long non-coding RNA. RefSeq lists it as uncharacterized. The transcript has 3 exons. Lineage: Eukaryota; Metazoa; Chordata; Testudines; Geoemydidae. The record is from RefSeq and is a predicted model, not a curated record.
UCUUUCUCUCUGGGAGGGGGUCCGGUGAAGGCAACUUGAAGAAAUCUAAAGACAUAGAAUUAGUCCCUGUGGUGGGAUCAGGAAAGGGGGCAAGGCCCAGGGAGGCAGCCCUGUAGGUUGGUAUGCCAGGGGAGGAACAAGGAGCUGGUGGGAAUCUCUGAAGAAGCCCAAGGUCUGGGAACCAGAGCAGAGGCUUUAUGAACCACAAGCUACUGGGAAACAGCACAAGGGGCUUGGAGUUUGGAAGUGAAGUGGUUUAUGGAAGCAGUGGCAUGUCUAAAGGCACAGACCUAGCUGCUUAAUGCAAGGUUUAUGGGCCAGGAUCCAGAGGAGAAGUUGAGUCUGUGUUCCCCUACCAGCCCCAAGGAAGGGACAUAAAAGCCCCUACACAAGGACUAUGGGAUACAGGGUGGGGCUGAAGACUGUGCCUUCAGGAUGGAUGGAGGAAGAGCCCAAGUGGGAUGAAAAAAUCUCUUGGUUGGAUUUUUGUUAUUCUGGAAGACGGCUGAACUUAAAAAAUGGCCAGAGGGCCAGGCUAUGGAAGUUGUGGACAGAAACAAGGCAAUGUGGAUGGAAAGUGGUGGCCAAUAGGAGCUGCUGGAGGUGAAGGCCCCAAUAACAUCCUUCUGUGACACCAGAAGGCACUAGGGUGGUAAUUACUGAAGCAUGAAGUUAAAUUGGUGAUUCAUUAUUGUGACCAGGAGAAAUGGAGUUAAUCAGUCAUAAAGUCACAGGGGCAAAGAGAAAUUUUCUGCCUAAGAUGGAAAAGGCAGGGGAGGCUAAGAAACUGUCUCCAUCACUCCACACUGACUCCGACAUUCUAGUCUUCAGAGUGAGACACAGAGCAACAAUCCUGGAAUGAUAGUAUGUCAUAGACUAAAGAAGAAAGUAUUGGGACACUGGUUACAACUUCCUAGAUCCAAGUUCAACUCCCAUCUCUACCAGACUUCCUGUGAGAACAGCACCAUUGUUAGCCCCCUGGGGGCCCUAAACAAGAAUACUGGUGGGGGGUGGGGAGAGCUCACAAUACUAAAACAGGUGCAUUCCUAUAUUAAAGAGCUGCUCAGGGCCCUAAACAAUUACUUAGUCAUCUUAUGCCUAGCGCCAGCUCUUAGAGUAUGGGCAAGUAUUUUGAAUCCUCUGUGCCUCAGUCCUCUAUCUGUACAACGGGACCAAUACUACUUUAUUUGCCCUUCUUGUCUAGAUAGAUACUUCAUGGAUACAAUUAACAACUACUUCCUGUGCAUUAUAGAAUAUAUCCUAACCUGUGUAGGGACAUAUGCAUCAUUAUGGAUACUGUGUAUGUAUGUAUAUGCAUGAUAGUAAAAAGUUCAUCGAAUUUGGAAGUCAGUUGAUUAAAUUUGGCUGGCAUGAAGUUCUGAUUCUAAAUAGGUGGAGAGAUAGAGAAUAUAAAAUUAUAUUGCAUUCAUAAUAUUUAAAAUAUCAGAAAAAGAGAAAUAGUUUCAGUAGGUUCAAAACAACAAUGCUAAGUAUGCUGCACAAAUACCUGCAGCCUCAAAAUGUCAAGUGACAAAUUAUUUCAUAAAUGAAUAUUUAAGUCAAGUAGUAAUUGAGUUGAUUUUUCCUAAAAAUGAUAAUUGAAGUGCUUUAUUCUUUUUUUACU